This 31-nucleotide small RNA is filed under the name Bombyx mori (domestic silkworm). RNAcentral describes it as "ovarian small RNA-8157". Lineage: Eukaryota; Metazoa; Arthropoda; Insecta; Lepidoptera; Bombycidae. The record is from RNAcentral.
UGACUAUAUCGUGGUGUCCGGCGGACCACAA